UACGAAGGUCCCAAGCGUUGUUCGGAAUCACUGGGCGUAAAGGGAGCGUAGGCGGCGUGGUAAGUCAGAUGUGAAAUCCCGGGGCUCAACCCCGGAACUGCAUCCGAUACUGCCAUGCUAGAGGAUUGGAGAGGUAGCUGGAAUUCUUGGUGUAGCGGUGAAAUGCGCAGAUAUCAGGAGGAACACCGGUGGCGAAGGCGGGUCUCUGGGCCGUAACUGACGCUGAGGAGCGAAAGCGUGGGGGAGCGAACAGG
This 254-nucleotide ribosomal RNA is filed under the name uncultured bacterium. RNAcentral describes it as "partial 16S ribosomal RNA". It matches the Rfam family "Bacterial small subunit ribosomal RNA", at positions 524 to 776 of the family's 1533-position model. The record is from RNAcentral.